This 1368-nucleotide ribosomal RNA is filed under the name Triticum aestivum (bread wheat). RNAcentral's name for it is "partial small subunit ribosomal RNA". The record is from RNAcentral. Lineage: Eukaryota; Viridiplantae; Streptophyta; Magnoliopsida; Poales; Poaceae.
AUGGAAGGCGAGAAGCAGCCGCCGCCGGCAGUGGACAGCGUGUCCAAGGUGCUUGACGACGAAGACCUUCUCGUAGAGAUCCUCCUCCGCGUCGCCUUCCCCAACACCCUUGUCCGCGCCGCCCUCGUCUGCAAGCGCUGGCUAGGGCAUGCCUCCGAACCGGCUUUCCUCCGCCGUUUCCGCGAGCUCCACCCGCCCCGCCUCCUCGGCUUCUACAUCAACAACAACGGGUACGGUCACCCCCCUCCACCGUCCUUCGUCCCGAUGUUGCCUCAGCCCGCAGAGCUCGCUGCCAUUGUCCGCCGGACAAAUUUCAAUGCCUACAGGAGGCUAUCGACCGGCACGCUUGACUGCCGGAACGGCAGCGUAUUCAUCGCCUUGUACAACGACAAGAGAACACUUGGGGUGCACCGCCCGCUGUGCCGUGGUGAGAGAGGUCUGACAAUCCUAUCAUCAGUCCCACGCCCUCAACUCCCCUUCGGCACUUGCUGCACUUUCAGUCAAGUCGUCUCCAAGGAAGGGGAUGGCCUGUCCUACUACUACUUGUAUGUGGAGUCUACCAUGGGUGAAUCUAGGCUGCAUGUAUAUAUGAUGCAAGAUGGUUCCUGGCACAUGCAUCAUCUGCUGGACAUAGGCCAACUCCUUCGUCCUCGUUCAAAACCAAAAGCUGUGCUUGUAGAUAAUAAAAUUUACAUGGCGGCUGGCCCAACCAACAUCGUUGUCUUGGAUUUGAAGACACUGAGUUUCUCCACAGUUCAGCUUCCACAAGGAGUGGAGCAUGGCAGCAGAGGCACCACCAUGUUGUCACGGGCCGGUGAUGCUUCUGGUGUAUAUCUCAUCCAUGUUAAGGAGUUUCAACUCCGCAUCUGGCUCCGCAAGGAGGACAACUGGUUGCUGGUCGAUAGCAUCUGCCUGCAUGAAAUGUGUGCUAAUUUGAGGAAGUCAGAUUCUACAAUCAAGAAUGGGCAUAAUGUUCUUCUCAUGGACCAGGUGGUGGACUAUGGUGACUUUGUGUUCUUGCAGAUGGGUGGAUGUGUACUGCACUUGGAUGUCAGGUGCAGGACACUACGUAAAGUGUAUGAAUACAGAAGCACUCAUCUUGGUGAUAUCCAUCCUUUUACAAUGAUCUGGCCUCCCGCAUUCCCCACGGUCAAGUACGAUCCUGCAAGGUUUGUCUUCUGGUAUUUUGAUGAUCUUGUUGAGAACUGCAACCUAAAGAAGAAAGAUACAAGGAAGCUCAUGGAUUGUACCUACGUCGUGAAUGACAUGGGUGGAAUCAAAGUAGGUAUCUCGUCUCAUCUGCUUGCUUCAAAGUCUUAUGAUUCCACUGCUUGGCUACUUAAUAAAUUUGGAGAAGCACAAUUGUAA